This 480-nucleotide ribosomal RNA is filed under the name uncultured bacterium. RNAcentral describes it as "partial 16S ribosomal RNA". It matches the Rfam family "Bacterial small subunit ribosomal RNA", at positions 28 to 507 of the family's 1533-position model. The record is from RNAcentral.
GACGAACGCUGGCGGCGCGCUUAACACAUGCAAGUCGAGCGAUGAAACUUUAACAGAACCCUUCGGGGCGAAGAUAAACUGGAUUAGCGGCGGACUGGUGAGUAACACGUGAGUAACCUGCCUUAGACAUUGGGAUAGCCUCGGUAAACCGGGAUUCAUCCCAAAUAAAAUCAUAAUGACACAUGACAUAACUAACAAAACCCCGGUGGUCUAAGCUGGACUCGCGUCCCAUUUGCUAGUUGGUAGAGUAAAAGCCCACCAAGGCGACGAUGGGUAGCCGGCCUGAGAGGGUGAACGGCCACAUUGGAACUGAGAAACGGUCCAAACUCCUACGGGAGGCAGCAGUGGGGAAUAUUGCACAAUGGAGGGAACUGUGAUGCAGCGACGCCGCGUGAACGAAGAAGGCUUUCGAGUCGUAAAGUUCUUUUAUAUGGGAAGAUAAUGACGGUACCAUAAGAAAAAGCCCCGGCUAACUACGUG